UACGAAGGGUGCAAACGUUGCUCGGAAUCAUUGGGCGUAAAGCGCACGUAGGCGGCUUCGCAAGUCGGAUGUGAAAUCCCUCGGCUCAACCGAGGACGUGCAUACGAAACUGCGGAGCUUGAGUGCUGAAGAGGAUCGCGGAAUUCCCGGUGUAGAGGUGAAAUUCGUAGAUAUCAGGAGGAACACCAAUAGCGAAGGCAGCUCGCUGGGACGGUACUGACGCUAAGGCGCGAAAGCGUGGGGAGCGAACAGG
RNAcentral lists this ribosomal RNA (253 nucleotides) under uncultured bacterium. RNAcentral's name for it is "partial 16S ribosomal RNA". It matches the Rfam family "Bacterial small subunit ribosomal RNA", at positions 524 to 776 of the family's 1533-position model. The record is from RNAcentral.